Cervus hanglu yarkandensis (Yarkand deer) is the source of this 2614-nucleotide long non-coding RNA. Lineage: Eukaryota; Metazoa; Chordata; Mammalia; Artiodactyla; Cervidae. The record is from Ensembl.
CAUCAAGAGUAAACUUCCUGUCCCAUUAAACAAUGAGGCAUUCAAACUCCGCCUGAGUAAAAGUCCCCUGAUGCAAUGCGAGGGUGAGCAAUUUCAUGUCAGGCUGUUGUUAUGGGAUUUAUACAUGUCCUAGCUAGGGCUUGAGGUGAACAUCGGAGCCAAAAACAAUAGCCCUAAACCCCACAUGCACAGAAACCUCAUUCCAGCGGAGUUUCCUUAAGAGAGGCGCACAGCAGACUUUUCACAAACAAAGUGACUUCAAAGGCAGGCUUGCAUCACCAGCCUCCCUCCCUCUCCUGACACUUCCCUUUAGGCCAGACCUGGCCCUUCUGUUCUUGGCUUACUUUAUGAGGCUCUCUCUCUCACACACACACACACAUCGCAAAGCAAUUAUCCGAGCUCACAGGCCAACAGGAAAGUAAUUGUAACUGAGUAUUUCCUUUGCCACUGCAGUGGGGAUGGGACCCAGUGACUGGGCAGCAGCUGCUCCCGAGGCUCCCAGACUGGACUCCCCCCCACCUCCCCCGGGGAGGAGGAUGCCAGGGGGAUGGGGGAAUGGGGGGGAAUUUUCUUACAUCACUUGACGCGCUUGCUUUCACUACCCAAACCCUGAGUCACGACUGAAGCCGGAUUGCCUCGGGUCUCUCUGGCUGAAACCAGAGGUUCUAGAUUUGGAAACCUGACUCCCAUCAGCUGACUCUUGUUCAGUUCAUCAGAGGAAACGUGUCUUGUCUUACUUGCCCCCUCUUCGAGCUGAAGUGCCUUCUCAUAAGGGGAUUACAUGAGGAAAAGGCGCUGUGUAGUGGCUUAGUAAGCCAAUGCUGGGCGAGUGAACAAUAUUUGACGUUGGGUCACUUAAAACGAACCACGUUGAGUCCAUUUUCAGAGAAGUUCUUUUGGUUUGGGGAAACAAGGCCUCUUCUAAACCAGCUGCCCCCGACCUCCCCCUCCCCUAGUCAUAUGUGUGGGUGCGCUCCGUUGCUCAGUCUUGUCCGUCUCUUUGCGACUCCCUGGACUGUAGCCCGCCAGGCUCCUCUGUCCAUAGAAUUUUGCAGGCAAGGAUACUGGAGUGCCAUCGCCUUCUCCAGGCGAUCUUCCUGACCCAGGGAUCAAACCCUCUUCUCUUGCAUCUCCUGCCUUGGCAGGUGGAUUCUUCACCACUAGUGCCAGUGGGUAGCUCCCCGCCCCCCACCCACCUCCAAACAUAAGUGCUUCCAAAGUUGACUGGGUGGGUAUUUACAAAGUAGACUCAGGAAACUGAAUGUUCAAUCAAAUUAAUAUCUUUCCAUGGGAGAAAAUAUUCAUAAGAUACAGAAAAUUGUAAGAGGAGAGUUGAUGAGAAAUUCCACUAAGUUAAAUGCUUUUGUACACACACACACACACACACAGGAAAUACUCUAAAAUGGGUGGUGAGACUAGGAGUAAUUGUUCUCUUCUUCAUGUUUUUCUUAUCUUUCUAAACUCUUUACAGUAAGCAGGGAUUUAUACCCAUAGCAGAGCAUGGUGAGUGAAAGCACAGACUUUGGAGCCAGACUGUCUGGUUUGAGUCCUGGCCCUCCCACUUCCUGUGGUGAUGGUCAGUGAAUUACUUGAUUUCUCUGUGCCUCAUUUUCCUCAUCUGUAAAGUGGGGGUAAGGAUUGUACCUAUUAUAUAAGGUGGUUAUAGGAAUUAAAGAGUCUAUGUGUGUAAAGUGCUUAGAACAUGUCUAGCAUGUUCGAUGAAGAAAAUAACUUUUACUUUCUUUUAAAUUUUAAUUGGCGUAUGACUGCUUUACAAUGUUGCGUUAGCUUCUGCCGUACAACAGCGUGAAUCCGCCGUAAUACAUGCAUGGAUCCACUCCCUCCCGAGCCUCCCUCCCUCCCCACCCUCCCCUCCUAGGUCAUCGCAGAGCAUCGGGCUGAGCUCCCCGCGGUGCAGAGCGGCUUCGCGCUGGCCAUCUGUUCCACACGUGGUACUGUGUUUAUACCCUCCCGACGCGGCCCACUGUCUCCACCCCCCGUCUGUUCUCUAUGUCUGCGUCUCCAUCGCUGCCCUCAAAUAGGUGCAUCAGUGUUUUCAUCAGUACCGUUUUUCUAAUUUAUCGAAUGGUGGCUGAUGUUCUCUGGAAUGCUCUCGGCCAUGGGGUUCAUGCUUUAUGACGCGCACUGCUGGAGAGAGGGUGCAUGGACCCCUAGGCCCGUGUCUGCCCUCAACUAACACAGUCAGGGCGGGCACGUGGCGUUGGCUGGGUGGCUAAAACUCUCAAAGCUCUCUGCCAGGUCGUGACAAAGAGCAGGGAUUUCCCAAGGGUAUACUGUGACCUCCGCCCGCUCCCCACCACGGCCGCCCCUUUGGUCAGAGCCGAGUGACGGCAAGCCUAAUUGUCCCCCAAACCGCAGGUUAUACUAUCACAGUUCGGCUGGUGACGUCCGCAGAGCUGGAAGGAUCCUUGACCUUUGGUAAACGGCGCCCCCUCGCCCAGAUUGAAAUGCCCUGGGCCAACCUGUGUGUGCAGCGAUACGUGCUUCACUUCCUCACGUAGGCCUGGGAGGAGCAGAGGGAAAUGGGAGCCGGCUUUGUGGCAGAUAGUCAAGUAAUUGUGAAACUGUUCAUGAACUGAUAGGAGAAGGUGAA